GUUUCUGUAGUGUAGUGGUCAUCACGUUUGCCUAACACGCAAAAAGUCCCCAGUUCGAAACUGUGCGGAAACA
RNAcentral lists this transfer RNA (73 nucleotides) under Danionella translucida. It matches the Rfam family "tRNA". Rfam says of the family: Transfer RNA (tRNA) molecules are approximately 80 nucleotides in length. The record is from Rfam by way of RNAcentral. Lineage: Eukaryota; Metazoa; Chordata; Actinopteri; Cypriniformes; Danionidae. RNAcentral also lists the same sequence under 1 other name.